CACGUAGUUAGCCGUGGCUUUCUGGUUAGAUACCGUCAAGGUGAGAACAGUAACUCUCUCACUUGUUCUUCUCUAACAACAGAGUUUUACGAUCCGAAAACCUUCUUCACUCACGCGGCGUUGCUCGGUCAGACUUUCGUCCAUUGCCGAAGAUUCCCUACUGCUGCCUCCCGUAGGAGUCUGGGCCGUGUCUCAGUCCCAGUGUGGCCGAUCACCCUCUCAGGUCGGCUAUGCAUCACGGUCUUGGUAGGCCGUUACCCCACCAACUAACUAAUGCAGCGCGGGCCCAUCCACCAGUGACACCGAAGCGUUCUUUAUAUUCUUCAUGCGAAGAACAAUUAUGCGUAUUAGCACCUGUUUCCAAGUGUUAUCCUCCUCUGAUGGGCAGGUUGCCCACGUGUUACUCACCCGUCCGCCACUCACUUCUUCGGUGAGCAAGCUCCGGUGAAAGAAGUGCGUUCGACUUGCAUGUAUUAGGCACGCCGCAGCGUCUCG
This 495-nucleotide ribosomal RNA is filed under the name uncultured Vagococcus sp. RNAcentral describes it as "partial 16S ribosomal RNA". The record is from RNAcentral. Lineage: Bacteria; Bacillati; Bacillota; Bacilli; Lactobacillales; Enterococcaceae.